Molecule: non-coding RNA, 245 nt
Organism: Podarcis lilfordi (Lilford's wall lizard)
Lineage: Eukaryota; Metazoa; Chordata; Lepidosauria; Squamata; Lacertidae
Source: the annotation of a GenBank genome assembly
GCUGGAUAGUUCAGUCUGUAGAGCAUGAGACUCUUAGGUGGAAUCUACACACAUAUAAAAAGCACUGUGAAAAUGCUUUUUUUUUAAAAGUUUUGAAAAAGACAUUGGUUUUUGCAUAGCUCACUGUUGCCAUCUAGUGUCAUGUUUGCAUAUUGCACUUUGCAACACAUUUAAAAUGUUUUAUUUGCAGCUGUAUAGUUGAGUCCUUAAUCUCAGGGUCGUGGGUUUGAGGCCCACAUUGGGCA